GUGAAUCAUCGAAUCUUUGAACGCACCUUGCGCUCCCUGGCAUUCCGAGGAGCAUGCCUGUUUGAGUGUCGUUGAACCCUCAGCAUCCUACCUGAUCUGUUGUGGUGACAAAUUGCAUUGCACUGAUUUGGGGGGGGGAGGCAGCUGCUGCUUCCCUUCACUUGGCUUCUGGAUCGUGGAGGAUGCAAUGCUGGCCCCAAUUGGGGGCCUCCUUUGCUUCUCUGAAAUGGAGUGCCGUCAUGACUGCAUUGCUUGUAACGUUGGGGUCGCGGUCACGAUGAACCUGGCACCGGGAUGAUACACUCUUCUUACCCGCGUCUGGUCCAUGCGAGCCGCGUCCAAUAUUUGACCUCAAAUCAGGCAGGACUACCCGCUGAACUUAAGCAUAUCAAUAAGCGGAGGA
Molecule: ribosomal RNA, 403 nt
Filed under: uncultured fungus
Lineage: Eukaryota; Fungi
Description: eukaryotic LSU rRNA
Rfam family: 5.8S ribosomal RNA (bases 1-71)
Source: RNAcentral